AACGAACGCUGGCGGCAUGCCUAACACAUGCAAGUCGAACGAGACCUUCGGGUCUAGUGGCGCACGGGUGCGUAACGCGUGGGAACCUGCCCUUAGGUUCGGAAUAACUCCCCGAAAGGGGUGCUAAUACCGGAUAAUGUCUUCGGACCAAAGAUUUAUCGCCUUUGGAUGGGCCCGCGUUGGAUUAGCUAGUUGGUAGGGUAAAAGCCUACCAAGGCGACGAUCCAUAGCUGGUCUGAGAGGAUGAUCAGCCACACUGGGACUGAGACACGGCCCAGACUCCUACGGGAGGCAGCAGUGGGGAAUAUUGGACAAUGGGCGAAAGCCUGAUCCAGCAAUGCCGCGUGAGUGAUGAAGGCCUUAGGGUUGUAAAGCUCUUUUACCCGGGAUGAUAAUGACAGUACCGGGAGAAUAAGCGACGGCUAACUCCGUG
Molecule: ribosomal RNA, 433 nt
Filed under: uncultured bacterium
Lineage: Bacteria
Description: partial 16S ribosomal RNA
Rfam family: Bacterial small subunit ribosomal RNA
Source: RNAcentral